GUGAUAGAUGGGGACAUCUGAUAAAAUCGAAACAAUACAGAGAAAAUUAGUAUAUCUCUUGCACAAAAAUGAUACGCUCACAUUGAGAAGAAAAAAAAACAAAG
Small nuclear RNA from Neltuma alba, 104 nucleotides. The record is from RefSeq and is a predicted model, not a curated record. Lineage: Eukaryota; Viridiplantae; Streptophyta; Magnoliopsida; Fabales; Fabaceae.